RNAcentral lists this ribosomal RNA (468 nucleotides) under uncultured bacterium. Its description in RNAcentral is "partial 16S ribosomal RNA". It matches the Rfam family "Bacterial small subunit ribosomal RNA", at positions 28 to 507 of the family's 1533-position model. The record is from RNAcentral.
GACGAACGCUGGCGGCGUGCUUAACACAUGCAAGUCGAACGGAAAGGCCCUGCUUUUGUGGGGUGCUCGAGUGGCGAACGGGUGAGUAACACGCGAGUAACCUGCCCUUGACUUUGGGAUAACUUCAGGAAACUGGGGCUAAUACCGGAUAGGAGCUCCUGCUGCAUGGUGGGGGUUGGAAAGUUUCGGCGGUUGGGGAUGGAUUCGCGGCUUAUCCGCUUGUUGGUGGGGUAGUGGCUUACCAAGGCUUUGACGGGUAGCCGGCCUGAGAGGGGGACCGGCCACAUUGGGACUGAGAGACGGACCAGACUGCUACGUGAGGCAGCAGUGGAGAAUAUGGCACAGUGGGCGGGAGCCUGAUGCAGCAACGCCGCGUGCGGGAUGACGGCCUUCGGGUUGUAAACCGCUUUCGCCUGUGACGAAGCGUGAGUGACGGUAAUGGGUAAAGAAGCAACGGCUAACUACGUG